UCCGAAGGGGGCUAUCGUUGUUCGGAAUAACUGGGCGUAAAGCGCAUGUAGGCGGAUUUUUAAGUCAGAGGUGAAAUCCCAGGGCUCAACCCCGGCAUUGCCUUUGAUACUGGAGAUCUGGAGUCUGGGAGAGGUGAGUGGAAUUCCGAGUGUAGAGGUGAAAUUCGUAGAUAUUCGGAGGAACACCAGUGGCGAAGGCGGCUCACUGGCCCGAGACUGACGCUGAGAUGCGAAAGCGUGGGGAGAAAACAGG
RNAcentral lists this ribosomal RNA (253 nucleotides) under uncultured bacterium. Its description in RNAcentral is "partial 16S ribosomal RNA". It matches the Rfam family "Bacterial small subunit ribosomal RNA", at positions 524 to 776 of the family's 1533-position model. The record is from RNAcentral.